This 445-nucleotide ribosomal RNA is filed under the name uncultured bacterium. Its description in RNAcentral is "partial 16S ribosomal RNA". It matches the Rfam family "Bacterial small subunit ribosomal RNA", at positions 354 to 796 of the family's 1533-position model. The record is from RNAcentral.
GUGGGGAAUCUUGCGCAAUGGGCGAAAGCCUGACGCAGCCAUGCCGCGUGCAGGAAGAAGGCGCUACGCGUUGUAAACUGCUUUUAACCGGGAAGAAACCCCAGGACGUGUCCUGGGUUGACGGUACCGGAGGAAUAAGCACCGGCUAACUUCGUGCCAGCAGCCGCGGUAAUACGAAGGGUGCAAGCGUUAUCCGGAUUCAUUGGGUUUAAAGGGUGCGUAGGCGGAGCGUUAAGUCAGUGGUGAAAUCCUGCAGCUUAACUGUAGACUUGCCAUUGAUACUGGCGCUCUUGAGUGCGCUUGAAGUGGGCGGAAUGUGCCGUGUAGCGGUGAAAUGCUUAGAUAUGGCACAGAACACCAAUUGCGAAGGCAGCUCACUAAGGCGAUACUGACGCUGAGGCACGAAAGCGUGGGGAUCGAACAGGAUUAGAUACCCUUGUAGUCC